Molecule: ribosomal RNA, 534 nt
Filed under: Trigonopterus singkawangensis
Lineage: Eukaryota; Metazoa; Arthropoda; Insecta; Coleoptera; Curculionidae
Description: partial large subunit ribosomal RNA
Rfam family: Bacterial large subunit ribosomal RNA
Source: RNAcentral
GGCUUGUUGAUAUUUAUUUCAGGUCUUACCUGCCCGCUGAGGUGUUGAAUGGCCGCGGUAUAUUAACCGUGCAAAGGUAGCAUAAUCAUUAGUUUUUUAAUUGAAAGCUGGAAUGAAAGGUUUUAUGAAAAAGUGACUGUCUCUAGGGAAGUUUAUUAAAAUUUUAUUUUUAAGUGAGAAAGCUUAAAUUUAAAUAGAAGACGAGAAGACCCUAUAGAGUUUUACAAGAAGCUAGGUGAUUAUAAAUAGGUAUUUUUAGGGUUAGUUAGCUAGGGCUUGUUUUGUUGGGGUGACAGAAAAAUUAAAUUAACUUUUUAAGAUUGAUUUACUGAUGUGUAGUUGCUUGAUCCUUUAUUUAGAUUAUAAGAAUAAAUUACCUUAGGGAUAACAGCGUAAUUUUCUUUAGAGUUCUUAUCGAAAAGAUUGAUUGCGACCUCGAUGUUGGAUUAAAAUUAAUUGUUGGUGUAGUAGCUAAUAUAUUAGGUCUGUUCGACCUUUAAAAUUUUACAUGAUCUGAGUUUAGACCGGCGUGAG